UAAUACUUGGUGAUUUUAUUCUAAUGUAACUACUCAAAUGUUCAUUGAGUUGAAUUGUCCAGACUACUAAACCCUUCUAAAGUUCUUCUUGCUUGUGAAAAAUUGUAUGAAGAUUCCAAUUGAAGGAAUAUGAACUUAUGACUUGAUCUUGGAUAAUGAAUAUCACCUUGAUCAAUUAUCAACAUUCAUAUGUUAUUUUAAUUUCUAGGAAUCCGAUCCUUUUUUCAAGGUUUGAUGGUUUUGAGUUUUAUUUUGAAUUUGGGCAUGAUUUUGGGUAGGAGCUAGUGUAAUUCACGCAUGUGACUUGCCGGAAAUUUGUGUCUACCGGUUCAAUUUUAUACAAGUGUUGUUGAAACUGUAGAACAAUUCUCUGGCCUUUUAUCUACUUUCUAUUGAAGUAAGAUGGAUGAUCUUAUGCCUCUUAAUCCCUGUCUGAAGCGCCAGAAGAAUCUUUCCAAGUAUGAUAUUGACAACUUGCCUGAUGAGUUGCUUAUUGCCAUACUUUCCUGUUUGAACUUCCAUGAGGCAGCAAGGACCUGUAUUCUCUCACGGCGUUGGAGAUACUUAUGGAAGCAUACAACUUGCAGUAUUGAAUUUUAUAACGACCACACCUUUGAAAUUGAGGUAGCAGAAAAGUUUAUAAAUUCGGUGAAUGAAGCCCUGACAUUUCAUGAGGGUGCAUUUAUUGAGCGGUUCAAAGUUGGUUUUGUUUAUCCAACUGUGUUUCCCCCCGACAGCAAUAUUGAUUUUAUAGUAGGAAGCAAGGCGGAGUCGAAUGUGAUAUUGAUUGCUGGAUUGGUUUUGCAAUAGAAAAGCAGUUCAAAGUGUUUGAACUAAACCUGGCGGCAGGUUAUGUAUGCCGUGGAGUUGAUAUGACUUGCAGCAUUCCUCAUGUGCCAAUGUUGUUGUCCAUUUGUGGCGAGGUUAAUUUGCUGAGAGCAUUGACUACUCUCAAAUCUUUCCGAUUUGUUAAUGUCCUCAUAACACAGGAAGUUGUUGAAUUUCUUUUGUCCAACUGCCCUUUACUGGAGGAAGUGUGUAUUUCAGCGUCAAUUGCUCUUGAUAGUUUGAAAGUUGCUUGUUCAUCAUCUAAGUUAAGGUCCAUGGAAAUAUCAAAUUGUGUUGCUUUGGAGACUAUGGAGGUUCAUGCUUCAGGGCUUGUGUCUUUUACAUACAUUGGACGUACUAUCGAAGUGCCUUUCAAGAAAGUUCCCCUCUUAUCUGAACUAACUAUUGGAGGAUAUUAUGCUGAUUCAUUUAUUUUUGAUGCUCACAAGCACUCUAGCUAUUGUCGAAAUCUCUAGAAGCUUAAACUGGAAGUGUCAUUUGAGGUAGUAGCAUACAUCUACCUUCUCUCUUCUUUUCCUCACUUGUAGUCUGCUUUCAUAUUGAAAUUAAGUUGUUAACAUGCAUUGUUUCAAAUCUUUUUAGUUAACUAGGAAAUGCUGGGUGAUUCCCGAUGUGUAUCCUCAACUCUGCCAUCUGAAAGAGUUGGAAUUGGACAUCUCCACAGAAGAGGGUGAUGGCCUUUGCUUCGUCACAUUCUUGACUAAGUGUUCUCCUGAGUUGUCAAAUUUAACCAUCAAGGUGUGAAUUUUCCGAUCUCUUAAGAAGAUGAUCAUUGACACAGAGGGAGAUCUUCUGCUUCAUUACUGAUCAACAAGAAGGCAAUCAUUGAGUGUGCUGAGCACCUGAAAGCAAAUUUACCUCCCGGAGCUGAAUUGUCGACAUGUGUUCCUGGUUUUACAAAGAAGCUGGAUGUCCCCAAAUGGUUUUAAACGUGCACAUUUAUCAUGACUUGCUUAUUUUGCUACUUAAAAUUUUCAGUAUUUUAUUGGCAAAUUUGGUGGAUA
Lycium ferocissimum is the source of this 1853-nucleotide RNA transcript. It is a transcript of the gene named putative F-box/LRR-repeat protein At1g56400, with no coding region annotated. The transcript has 4 exons. Lineage: Eukaryota; Viridiplantae; Streptophyta; Magnoliopsida; Solanales; Solanaceae. The record is from RefSeq and is a predicted model, not a curated record.